CCUACGGGAGGCAGCAGUGAGGAAUAUUGGUCAAUGGACGAGAGUCUGAACCAGCCAAGUAGCGUGCAGGAUGACUGCCCUAUGGGUUGUAAACUUCUUUUAUAAAGGAAUAAAACGACGCACGUGUGCCUUUUUGCAUGUACUUUAUGAAUAAGGAUCGGCUAACUCCGUGCCAGCCGCCGCGGUAAUCCGGAGGAUCCGAGCGUUAGCCGGAUUUAUUUGGUUUAAAGGGAGCGUAGAUGGGUUGUUAAGGCAGUUGUGAAAUGUUGCGGCUCAACCGUAAAAUUGCAAUUGAAACUGGCAGGCGUGAGUACAGGUGAGGGAGGCGGAAUUCGUGGUGGAGCGGUGAAAUGCUUAGAUAUGACGAAGAACCCCGAUUGCGAAGGCAGCUUACUAAACUGUGACUGACAUUGAUGCUCGAAAGUGUGGGUAUCAAACAGGAUUAGAUACCCCUGUAGUC
This 460-nucleotide ribosomal RNA is filed under the name uncultured bacterium. RNAcentral's name for it is "partial 16S ribosomal RNA". It matches the Rfam family "Bacterial small subunit ribosomal RNA", at positions 338 to 795 of the family's 1533-position model. The record is from RNAcentral.